This is a long non-coding RNA of Sapajus apella (tufted capuchin), 1141 nucleotides long. RefSeq lists it as uncharacterized. Lineage: Eukaryota; Metazoa; Chordata; Mammalia; Primates; Cebidae. The record is from RefSeq and is a predicted model, not a curated record. The transcript is spliced from 3 exons.
AUGAGCAAAAACAUGCUAUAAGAAAAAAUGAAAAAUAAAUUGGAUUAGAAAACAUCUCUGUGGAGAUGACAGAAAAUAAUAUUGUAUCUUAAGGCUUCAGUCUUCUCAGGGAAGUAGUAAUUGGCUACACAUUCUUCCAGGAAUGCGAUGGUCACAGUAAUUAGGAAUUUAAAGCUUGUAGGAAGAAAAUCUUGAAUUGACCUUGCUGUCAUUAAGAGGAACGAGUUAUUUAUUGUAAGAGAUUGGUGUAGAACUGCCGGACAUGUUGCUAAAGAUACAGGAUGAGUUUGUAGAUGACAAAGUGCUUGGUCAUUUGGGACCAGAAAUAGAAAAACUGACUAUACGUCAGCUCUGGUUGGGUAAGAGUACACCAGAGGCUUAAGGUAUUCAGGGCAUCUCUGGGAGUAAUAACAAAAGCAUUGAUAAAAUUGCUUACCAUAGCCAAGCACCAGAGAAAGAACUUCACAUUCUUACAAUGUACAAAACUAUUGGCUACAAAAUAUGAAUCAGGAUUUCAGAGUCUCAUCUUAUAUAAUGGAACAUUUUUUUUGCCCUCCUUGAAACAGAUCAUUACCUAUGAAGAUUAUAGUUGGUUAUCUAUACAAUUACUUGUACAUUAAGUACCUUAGUAUAUCCCUUUCUGUGUAUCUUCAACAUUAUUUGAGUAUAUAGCCUUUUAGAAUGUUAGGUACAUUUAAAAAAAUUUCUUUUCUGUGAACCUAUGGAUUAUAUUGAAUAGGCCCUUUUCUAAACACACAAACACUGGAGACGUUUGGGGAGGGGGAGGAGAAAAAGAGAACAGUGAGGAGGUACCAAAAAUUUGGAAGUAGUCAAAAUAUUACAUAGUAUUUACUUCUCAAUUUAAGAUAUACCAUAUUAUUAAAAUUACUGUACCAUUAGACAAAUGUUACCACUGAGCUUCUUUUAAUAUUUCAUAUGUCAUUAAAAAAAAAAUCUAGUUAUUUUCUUCCUGAGUUUUCUUUCACAGAGAAUUGUAAUUGAAUUUGGCCUUGUGAUUUAAUUUUAUGUAGAAUAAAUUUGUUAAAAAUUACCUAUCAAAUUUAUGUGACUCAGUCAAGUCUGCCAAGUCACUCUGGACAACAGACUGAAACCCUGUCUUAAAAAAAAAAAAGGUGGGGGG